RNAcentral lists this ribosomal RNA (867 nucleotides) under uncultured bacterium. RNAcentral describes it as "bacterial SSU rRNA". It matches the Rfam family "Bacterial small subunit ribosomal RNA", at positions 44 to 887 of the family's 1533-position model. The record is from RNAcentral.
AGGCCUAACACAUGCAAGUCGAGCGGUAGCGGGCCUGACCACUCUCGAGUGGUUCAGGCGCCGACGAGCGGCGGACGGGUGCGUAACACGUAGGAAUCUGCCUGGUAGUGGGGGAUAGCCCGGAGAAAUUCGGAUUAAUACCGCAUACGCCCUAAGGGGGAAAGCAGGGGAUCGGUUCGCCGACCUUGCGCUAUCGGAUGAGCCUGCGUCGGAUUAGCUUGUUGGUGGGGUAAAGGCCUACCAAGGCGACGAUCCGUAGCUGGUCUGAGAGGAUGAUCAGCCACACUGGGACUGAGACACGGCCCAGACUCCUACGGGAGGCAGCAGUGGGGAAUAUUGCACAAUGGGCGAAAGCCUGAUGCAGCCAUGCCGCGUGUGUGAAGAAGGCCCUAGGGUUGUAAAGCACUUUCAGUGGGGAGGAAAGGUCGAAGGUUAAUACCCUUUGGCUGUGACGUUACCCACAGAAGAAGCACCGGCUAACUCCGUGCCAGCAGCCGCGGUAAUACGGAGGGUGCGAGCGUUAAUCGGAAUUACUGGGCGUAAAGCGUGCGUAGGCGGCCAUUUAAGUUGGAUGUGAAAGCCCCGGGCUCAACCUGGGAACUGCAUCCAAAACUGGGUGGCUUGAGUGCGAGAGAGGAGUGUGGAAUUUCCUGUGUAGCGGUGAAAUGCGUAGAUAUAGGAAGGAACACCAGUGGCGAAGGCGACACUCUGGCUUGACACUGACGCUGAGGUACGAAAGCGUGGGGAGCAAACAGGAUUAGAUACCCUGGUAGUCCACGCCGUAAACGAUGUCUACUAGUUGUCGGUGGUCUUGUACUGCUGGUAACGCAGCUAACGCGAUAAGUAGACCGCCUGGGGAGUACGGCC